RNAcentral lists this unclassified non-coding RNA (301 nucleotides) under Glomeromycetes sp. RNAcentral describes it as "partial contains 5.8S ribosomal RNA and internal transcribed spacer 2". The stretch from base 1 to 71 matches the Rfam family "5.8S ribosomal RNA", at positions 84 to 154 of the family's 154-position model. The record is from RNAcentral. Lineage: Eukaryota; Fungi; Glomeromycota; Glomeromycetes.
GUGAAUCAUCAAAUCUUUGAACGCAUAUUGCACUCCCCGGCAUUCCGGGGAGUAUGCCUGUUUCAGCAUCAGAAUCAUCCUCGAGCCCACGAGACGGACUCCUAUCUCGUAUGCCGUCUUCUGCUUGAAAAAAAAAAACUAAAAUUUAUCAUAACAAUAGGUGAUAUAGGAAAUGUUUAUUGAUGAUUCAUUAACAAUUAUUACCAAAUUCGUUACGUCGUGUUAGUUUCCUAAUUUCGUAAUUAGUUAAAAGUAAUACAAUUUUUCUUUUGAAAUCUGACCUCAAGUCAAGUAAGAAUAA